UACAGAGGUCUCAAGCGUUGUUCGGAUUCAUUGGGCGUAAAGGGUGCGUAGGCGGCGCGGUAAGUCGGGUGUGAAAUCUCGGGGCUUAACUCCGAAACUGCAUUCGAUACUGCCGUGCUUGAGGACUGGAGAGGAGACUGGAAUUUACGGUGUAGCGGUGAAAUGCGUAGAUAUCGUAAGGAAGACCAGUGGCGAAGGCGGGUCUCUGGACAGUUACUGACACUGAGGCACGAAGGUCAGGGGAGCAAACGGG
This 253-nucleotide ribosomal RNA is filed under the name uncultured bacterium. Its description in RNAcentral is "partial 16S ribosomal RNA". It matches the Rfam family "Bacterial small subunit ribosomal RNA", at positions 524 to 776 of the family's 1533-position model. The record is from RNAcentral.